RNAcentral lists this ribosomal RNA (440 nucleotides) under uncultured bacterium. RNAcentral describes it as "partial 16S ribosomal RNA". It matches the Rfam family "Bacterial small subunit ribosomal RNA", at positions 338 to 795 of the family's 1533-position model. The record is from RNAcentral.
CCUACGGGUGGCAGCAGUGGGGAAUAUUGCACAAUGGGGGAAACCCUGAUGCAGCGACGCCGCGUGGGUGAAGAAGUAUUUCGUUACGUAAACCUCUAUCAGCAGGGAAGAAAAUGACGGUACCUGACUAAUAAGCCCCGGCUAACUACGUGCCAGCAGCCGCGGUAAUACGUAGGGGGCAAGCGUUAUCCGGAUUUACUGGGUGUAAAGGGAGCGUAGACGGCAGCGCAAGUCUGGAGUGAAAUGCCGGGGCCCAACCCCGGAACUGCUUUGGAAACUGUGAAGCUGGAGUGCAGGAGAGGUAAGUGGAAUUCCUGGUGUAGGGGUGAAAUGCGUAGAGAUCAGGAGGAACACUGGCGGCGAAGGCGGCUUACUGGACUGUAACUGACGUUGAGGCUCGAAGGCGUGGGGAGCAAACAGGAUUAGAUACCCUUGUAGUC